RNAcentral lists this microRNA (21 nucleotides) under Cordylochernes scorpioides. Lineage: Eukaryota; Metazoa; Arthropoda; Arachnida; Pseudoscorpiones; Chernetidae. The record is from RNAcentral.
GAGAAACAGUGACUGGGGUUA